This 404-nucleotide ribosomal RNA is filed under the name uncultured bacterium. RNAcentral describes it as "bacterial SSU rRNA". It matches the Rfam family "Bacterial small subunit ribosomal RNA", at positions 355 to 776 of the family's 1533-position model. The record is from RNAcentral.
UGGGGAAUAUUGCACAAUGGGGGAAACCCUGAUGCAGCGACGCCGCGUGAGCGAUGAAGUAUUUCGGUAUGUAAAGCUCUAUCAGCAGGGAAGAAAAUGACGGUACCUGACUAAGAAGCCCCGGCUAACUACGUGCCAGCAGCCGCGGUAAUACGUAGGGGGCAAGCGUUAUCCGGAUUUACUGGGUGUAAAGGGAGCGUAGACGGCGGUGCAAGCCAGAUGUGAAAGCCCGGGGCUCAACCCCGGGACUGCAUUUGGAACUGUAGUGCUGGAGUGUCGGAGAGGCAGGCGGAAUUCCUAGUGUAGCGGUGAAAUGCGUAGAUAUUAGGAGGAACACCAGUGGCGAAGGCGGCCUGCUGGACGAUGACUGACGUUGAGGCUCGAAAGCGUGGGGAGCAAACAGG